Molecule: long non-coding RNA, 355 nt
Filed under: Marmota monax (woodchuck)
Lineage: Eukaryota; Metazoa; Chordata; Mammalia; Rodentia; Sciuridae
Source: RNAcentral
CCUGGGAGUGCACGAGGCCUCGGCGGAAGUUGCCGGACCAGCCGGCCUGCCUCCUUACCUUGGGCCCGGCCCCUCGCCUUCAAGGCGGCAGAAAUCCUCCGCGCUGGACCCCUGGCUUCGGGCUCCUGGGCAGAUGUUUCAGGAACUUAGAUUCUUGGCAAAGCCCACUGCUGCCUCGCCUGGGCACAGAAUCCUGAGGCCUCACCUGCCCAGCGUCUGGCAGGAGUGGUGCUCCAGGUUGGAUCCUGCUGGGAGACCCGUCCUACUGGCAGAGGCCACCUUCACCCCAUUUCCUCAAGGUCUUGGCACCCAUAGUGCCCAGGCUUGUCCCCCCUGGGUCCCUCCCAGUCCUGAC